This 443-nucleotide ribosomal RNA is filed under the name uncultured bacterium. RNAcentral's name for it is "partial 16S ribosomal RNA". It matches the Rfam family "Bacterial small subunit ribosomal RNA", at positions 338 to 795 of the family's 1533-position model. The record is from RNAcentral.
CCUACGGGCGACAGCACUGGGGGAUAUUGGACAAUGGGGGAAACCCUGAUCCAGCGACGCCGCGUGAGUGAAGAAGUAUUUCGGUAUGUAAAGCUCUGUCAGCAGGGAAGCAAGAAAUGACGGUACCUGACCAAGAAGCCCCGGCUAACUACGUGCCAGCAGCCGCGGUAAUACGUAGGGGGCAAGCGUUAUCCGGAAUUACUGGGUGUAAAGGGAGCGUAGACGGUCAUGCAAGUCUGGAGUGAAAGGCGGGGGCCCAACCCCCGGACUGCUCUGGAAACUGUGUAACGUGAGUGCAGGAGAGGGAAGCGGAAGUCCUAGUGUAGCGGUGAAAUGCGUAGAUAUUAGGAGGAACACCAGUGGCGAAGGCGGCUUACUGGACUGUAACUGACGUUGAGGCUCGAAAGCGUGGGGAGCAAACAGGAUUAGAUACCCCAGUAGUC